This 396-nucleotide ribosomal RNA is filed under the name uncultured Gammaproteobacteria bacterium. RNAcentral's name for it is "bacterial SSU rRNA". It matches the Rfam family "Bacterial small subunit ribosomal RNA", at positions 370 to 779 of the family's 1533-position model. Lineage: Bacteria; Pseudomonadati; Pseudomonadota; Gammaproteobacteria. The record is from RNAcentral.
GAUGGACGAAAGUCUGACGGAGCGACGCCGCGUGGUGGAUGAAGUACUUAGGUACGUAAACACCUUUUAUGAGUGAAGAAGUAUAUUGACAUUAGCUCAUGAAUAAGGGGCUCCCAACUCUGUGCCAGCAGGAGCGGUAAUACAGAGGCCCCAAGCGUUAUCCGGAUUCACUGGGCGUAAAGGGUGCGUAGGCGGUUAUAUUAGUCGAGUGUUAAAUCCUUGGGCUCAACCCAAGAAUCGCAUUCGAAACGGUAUAACUAGAAGUAGUCAGAGGCUAGCAGAGCUCUCGGUGUAGGGGUGAAAUCCGUUGAUAUCGAGGGAAAUACCAAAUGCGAAGGCAGCUAGCUGGGGCUCACUUGACGCUGAGGCACGAAAGCGUGGGUAGCGAACGGGAUU